Molecule: ribosomal RNA, 253 nt
Filed under: uncultured bacterium
Lineage: Bacteria
Description: partial 16S ribosomal RNA
Rfam family: Bacterial small subunit ribosomal RNA
Source: RNAcentral
GACGUAGGGGGCAAGCGUUGUUCGGAAUUAUUGGGCGUAAAGCGCUCGUAGGCGGGACAGGAAGUUCGUGUUGAAAGACCUCGGCUCAACUGAGGGACCGGCUCGAAUACUCUUGUUCUUGAGGCAAUCAGAGGGUGAUGGAAUUCCCGGUGUAGCGGUGAAAUGCGCAGAUAUCAGGAGGAACACCGGUGGCGAAGGCGGUUCUCUGGGCCUAAUCUGACGCUGAGGAGCGAAAGCGUGGGGAGCAAACAGG